This is a long non-coding RNA of Manis pentadactyla (Chinese pangolin), 1528 nucleotides long. RefSeq lists it as uncharacterized. The transcript has 4 exons. Lineage: Eukaryota; Metazoa; Chordata; Mammalia; Pholidota; Manidae. The record is from RefSeq and is a predicted model, not a curated record.
GGGCCCGCCGCCCCGACUGACAGCCUCCUAGGCCAAUCGUCAGCGCGGACGGUCGCUCAUGGGGCGGAACUUCCGACCUGGCGGGGGUCUGCCGGGCUGUGGUCGGAGGGACGGAGUCUUCAGCCAAUACAGGGCAUGCUGGGGAGAAAGAAUAACGGAGAAAGAACCCAUGAUUAAGUGUCCAUCAAUGGAUGAAUAGACAAAUUGUGGCAUAUCCAUACAAUGGAAUAUUAUUCAGCCUUUAAAAGAAAAUUCUGACAUUUGCUACAACAUGAUGGACCUGGACACAUGGUGCUCAGUGACAUAAGCCAGACACAGAAGGGCUGACCCUGUCUGAUCCCACCCCUGGGAGGUCCCUAGAGGAGCCCCAUUCACAGAGACAGAAAAAAAAUGCCAGCCAGUACUGUUGAAAGCAUGAUAGAAAAAAAUCACUACUGUGAAUGCCCCAAGAAAGAACCAUUGCAGACAAGAGUCAUCAGUGGAUGCUAAAACCAUUAGCUGAAAGGAUCAUCUCACAUCCACCAAAGAUCAUCCCUGAGAUUGCCUGCUAGAUACAAAGAGGAGAAAAUAACCUUACAGUGGAAGCAUCACACCAUUGCCAUCUUGGUCCAGGGAUGACUCUUAGCAGCCUUCCAGUGGAACAUACGGAAUGACGAGUUUCUACCACGCUGUGCUGGGAAGCAUGCAGCACCAAAAAGAAAGCGUUCUUGCCUCCAAAAUUUAACUUGGAUCGAGUCACACUUUCGGUCCUAACUUUCAAGUUACAGGAGAAGCACAUGGAUAGAGGAACAUGAGAGAGGACACCAGGAGAAGCGAUUCAAUAAGCCCAGAAGGAGGAACUCUCGACACUCUGGCUUCCUCCAGUCAAGAGGAUGGAGGAAAAGAAAUAGGGACUGCCGGGGGUUACCAGAGAUGACAUCACAGCCAAAUGCAAUGUGGGGCCCUGCACCGGAUCUUGGGGCCUUGACCAAAGCAGCUGUGUCAGCUGGGGAACUCUGAACCUGAAUAAUAACAGGUGAGGAAACUGAAGCUCAGAGGAGGUAAGUGAGUUGCCCAGAGUUGUAUGGCGAGGAUAUGGCAGAGCUGGGGGCCUCCUCAAUGAGACCAACCCUGACCAUCCCACUUACAUGCACAUUUAUCCAUGAGGCCCCUUGUCUGUCUCCCCUCCUGGCCAAGAUGGAAGUUCCAGGGGGACAGGCAUCUUGGUGGUGUUCACUUAUGUAUAUCCCGAGCACACUGCCUGGCACAGGGUAAAUGCUCAAUAAAUAUUUGUUGCAUGAGAUGAAAAACUACUGAAUCACAUAGUGAGUGGGCUAGUUCCUUUUCAAUUCAUUUCUGAUCUAAUGUCUGCAACAAGAAAGUCUUGGCAUCUGUGCAUCUUAAGCCCCUCUCUGGCACUCCCCAAGCUCCGUCAAGGACAAGGGAACAGAUUCAGAGGUCAGAGUCUGGGACAGGUAACUGCCUCUGCUGCAACGCUUCUCAACGCCACCUGGACAUUGAAAAUCUCCUGCAGAGCUUUAAAAAAUAC